GCCGGGCCCCGGGGUGCAGGACGUUCACAUAACUCGGGUAGGUAGGUCGCGCUCGGCCCAAUGGCAACAACACACCUCGUUACGAUCGGCCAGCUGACGGCGAAGAGGAGUAGAACGACGGCGAGACCCGUCCGACGACAGUCAACGUUGAAUUCGACUUAAACGUAGGCGGUGGAAGAAGGAACGGACACGAAGAACGUGCAGCGCCCUCGGUAGCCUGACCCCGAACUAGGCCAAUGAUAAGGAAACGAGUGUAACAGCCGGCGGCAACUGUCUUAUCGAUUAAUCGAAACUCAGCCGCGGCGUUCUCGUUUGACAGCCCGGGAAAUACGGGAAUCUUAAAUCCCCGCCCGAUCCGCGACCGCGCGUUUGGCAUUUCUGUUGAGAAACCAUCGUCGUUGAGCAAUUUCAUUUCGAGAGAUUCGUUUUUAACUCCAGUUUCAAGCUGAUAAUAUUGCAGCCUUUUCAAAAUUUGGUGAUUUUUAUGAGGGAUAUUGUAUUUUAGGAGAGAACCAUGAUUACAGGUACUUGCCUGUGUCCUAGUUUCUUUUUAUGAGAUUCUUGCUUCAUCCGCAUCCUUGAGAAUCGGAGUGGAACGAGCUGCUUUUAAACCGAAGAUGAUGGAUGAAUGAUUAAGCGAUGACGAGGUUAAAUCGCCUGUAUUUCCUGUUAUUUCAGCGAUUAUUUAUAGCAAACGCUGCUGACGCUGAUUGUAAUUUUGUAGUGGGAGUGAAAGAAGAAAAUGUCAUUUGGUAUCUCUUCUUUCCUUCUUUUUUUUCUAAUAAGACAUAAACUUCUAGUAAAUAAUGAUUUAAUAAAGUAAAUUAAUAUUUAAAA
Long non-coding RNA from Osmia bicornis bicornis, 837 nucleotides. RefSeq lists it as uncharacterized. The transcript is spliced from 2 exons. The record is from RefSeq and is a predicted model, not a curated record. NCBI's taxonomy places the organism in Eukaryota, Metazoa, Arthropoda, Insecta, Hymenoptera, Megachilidae.